RNAcentral lists this ribosomal RNA (737 nucleotides) under uncultured archaeon. RNAcentral describes it as "bacterial SSU rRNA". It matches the Rfam family "Archaeal small subunit ribosomal RNA", at positions 102 to 835 of the family's 1478-position model. The record is from RNAcentral.
GGAUAACUUACCCUUAGGACUGGGAUAACUCUGGGAAACUGGGGAUAAUACUGGAUAUUUGGCUAUGCCUGGAAUGGUUUGCCUUUGAAAUGUUUUCUUUUUCGCCUAAGGAUAGAUCUGCGGCUGAUUAGGUCGUUGGUGGGGUAAUGGCCCACCAAGCCGAUGAUCGGUACGGGUUGUGAGAGCAAGAGCCCGGAGAUGGAACCUGAGACAAGGUUCCAGACCCUACGGGGUGCAGCAGGCGCGAAACCUCCGCAAUGUACGAAAGUGCGACGGGGGGAUCCCAAGUGUUAUGCUUUUUUGUAUAACUUUUCAUUAGUGUAAAAAGCUUUUAGAAUAAGAGCUGGGCAAGACCGGUGCCAGCCGCCGCGGUAACACCGGCAGCUCGAGUGGUAGCUGUUUUUAUUGGGCCUAAAGCGUUCGUAGCCGGUUUGAUAAGUCUUUGGUGAAAGCUUGUAGCUUAACUAUAAGAAUUGCUGGAGAUACUAUUAGACUUGAAGUCGGGAGAGGUUAGAGGUACUACCGGGGUAGGGGUGAAAUCCUAUAAUCCUGGGAGGACCACCUGUGGCGAAGGCGUCUAACUGGAACGAUCUUGACGGUGAGUAACGAAAGCCAGGGGCGCGAACCGGAUUAGAUACCCGGGUAGUCCUGGCCGUAAACGAUGUAGACUUGGUGUUGGAAUGGCUUUGGGUUGUUCCGGUGCCGAAGGGAAGCUGUUAAGUCUACCGCCUGGGAAG